This 355-nucleotide ribosomal RNA is filed under the name uncultured bacterium. RNAcentral's name for it is "bacterial SSU rRNA". It matches the Rfam family "Bacterial small subunit ribosomal RNA", at positions 22 to 356 of the family's 1533-position model. The record is from RNAcentral.
GCUCAGGAUGAACGCUGGCGGCGUGCUUAACACAUGCAAGUCGAACGAAGAUUGUUGGAAUGAGAGCUUCGGCAGGAUUUUUAUCUAUCUUAGUGGCGGACGGGUGAGUAACGUGUGGGCAACCUGCCCUGUACUGGGGAAUAAUCAUUGGAAACGAUGACUAAUACCGCAUGUGGUCCUCGGAAGGCAUCUUCUGAGGAAGAAAGGAUUUAUUCGGUACAGGAUGGGCCCGCAUCUGAUUAGCUAGUUGGUGAGAUAACAGCCCACCAAGGCGACGAUCAGUAGCCGACCUGAGAGGGUGAUCGGCCACAUUGGGACUGAGACACGGCCCAAACUCCUACGGGAGGCAGCAGUA